Molecule: long non-coding RNA, 348 nt
Filed under: Mustela putorius furo (domestic ferret)
Lineage: Eukaryota; Metazoa; Chordata; Mammalia; Carnivora; Mustelidae
Description: lncRNA (ENSMPUG00000031694.1)
Source: RNAcentral
GCAAUGCAGACAGUGGAUGAGAAGACAGGGCACCGGAGUGAGCCAGGGCGACCCGGCAAUGAUGCAGACAAUGACGUGUUGCUGCCUUCCACUGACCAACAGGAAGAUGUGGAAGCGAGUGCUUACCUGCACCUGCGGGGCAGGAGGGAAACAGACACAUCCACAAGGAGCUGAAGGUGUCCGCCCCCAGACCCCGUGAGGACCACCGAUUCGCAGUGCCCAGCACACUGCAGAAGUUCAACAGAUACACGUUCGAUGGCUGGAUCUAGUUACCAGUGUUUUUGUUAAAAAGUUAAUGUCGCAAUAAAGCAAUUCGUUUUUCCCCCCCUUUUCAGACAUAAACUAGAG